Non-coding RNA from Nicotiana tabacum (common tobacco), 3464 nucleotides. NCBI's taxonomy places the organism in Eukaryota, Viridiplantae, Streptophyta, Magnoliopsida, Solanales, Solanaceae. The record is from RefSeq and is a predicted model, not a curated record.
ACCACUUUGUUAAAGUAAAUGGACUAUUAGUGCUCCAUGUGGAAGAAUAUGUAUGACUUUGAGUCUAAAGCCAAAGAUAAUGUAUGUUUUUGGGCUUUUUCUCAGUGUUAUGACUAAAAGUGCACCACUUUGUUAAAGUAAAUGGACUAUUAGUGCUCCAUGUGGAAGAAUAUGUAUGACUUUGAGUCUAAAGCCAAAGAUAAUGUAUGUUUUUGGGCUUUUUCUCAGUGUUAUGACUAAAAGUGCACCACUUUGUUAAAGUAAAUGUACUAUUAGUACUCCAUGUGAAAGAAUAUGUAUGAGUUUGAGUCUAAAGCCAAAGAUCAUGUAUGGUUUUGGGCUUUUCCUCACCGUAAAAUAAGCCAAGUUGAUUCGCAGUUUGCUUAAAGUAUUUGCUUUGAUACCUCAAUGUUAAUUAUUAUGUGUUGUAGAAGAAUUAAAAAGCUCAUUUUUCUUGGUAGAAAAGGGUUUUUCUUGUGGGCAUUUACAAGUGAAUUGGUAAUCGAGAAUUUGAAUGCCAUAUGAUUUUUUGUCUGAGUUAGAUAUCACGGAACAAUAUUGCUAUAUGGUAGAGAUAAUGAAAAGGUCAUCAAUCACACAAAUAGCAUAAAAAAACUUAGAAGAACAAACGGACCAAUAAUUUCAAGAUUUAACUAAUCCUCUUCGUUUGAGCCAUGGUAGCUUGUACAUCACUUUCAAAUUUCUUUGAUCCUGUUCACAAGUAAAUAGCAGCCACCGGAGAGUGUAACUUGCAUAAUGCUGUUAAUAUGAAAGGCCUCUAUGUGCAUGAAAUAUGAACCCAUUAAGUGAAAAUAGUUUUCUUCUAAAGUUAAUGAAAAAAAGUCAUAAAAACUUAUUAAAAAAAGGAGCAAAUUCCAUGUCGAGCCAACAAAUAGAUGGCUCAAGCUUAAAGUUUUAGUCAAACUUACCUUACAAAAAUUGAACCCUAAACUUGAUUUUGCAAAAUAAGAACAUACAGGAAGUUGUAGGUGGAAAAGUGGGGGAAAUUGAAUCUUUAUAAUAUCAAAUUUAGAUGCACCAAAAAUAUUACAAUAUCGGAAGACGAGAAGUUUUUGAAAGAAGGAAAUAAAGUGCAACGGAUGAGCAAUUAAGUCACAAAAAUUGGAAGGUUUGAGAUGACGUUAAACGUGACCUUGCCGCGAUCUACGAUUUCAUUGUUAAUCCCAUGGACCCGUGCCUAAGUGAAUUCGGAAAUUUUUAGGGCCAUCUUGUAGGAAGACUAGCAGAUACAACUGCACCAGUUCAGGAGAAGGCUCUCGAUGUCUUCAUUUGUUACUUGAAAUAUUGAUGUUGAGGCUGGGAGGUAAUGCUUUAGUUCAUUUAGUUUUAAUUUUAUUUUGCUUCAUUUGAAUAAGUAGUAGAUAUGUGAAAGAAGUAUGUGAUGCAAUAGUGGCAAAAUUCUUGAUCGGGAGGCCAAAGACAGUGGAGAAGGUGUGGAUGGUGUUUUUUUGCUUUGCAUAGAGUUGGAGGCCACUGAGGCAAUUUUGGUAUGCUCUGUCAGUGAUAUUUUAGCAACUAGGUUGUACUCAAUAUUGUCAUGGCCGACUUUUGACUGACGCCAUGACGAUAUUGGCACUUUAUUCCACUUUUCUUCUCAUUGAUUGAACAUUCUGGUUUUCAGUAUUUACUUUGCAACAAGUUAUAAGUGACACAUGACGCUUCUCUAGAUAUUUAGUGUAUGCUUGUGAAGUUAAAUCACGAGUUUUAUGUUUGACAAGCUAAACAAUAUAAGUUGUAUGUUAUGGAAACCUGUAGUGUCGUAUUGAUCUCUAAUUAUUCUGUAGAGUCAUUAACAACUGGUAGAUCACCCAAAUCUCAUCAACUAAUUGGAUAUUGGGGGGCUGAAGGAAAGAGGUAUUUAGAGGCUACCUAUGUAAGAAUUCCUACCAAAUAGAAGCGUACACGGUCAUUUUUCAGUAGUGUAUUUAUUGUUCUUUCUUGCCAAAGAAACUGCACAUAGUGCUUGGACAGCUCAAGGAUGGCUUAUUCGCAUAAAGAAUCACCAGUUCAGGUAUUUUAUUUGAAUAUCUUCUGAAGUUCUCUUCCUAUUUUUUCAUUAUAAAAUUACUGGAGUAUAAACUUGAGUAUAAACUUUUGGCCAGAUAUUCCCUCAUUAUGUAACCCUAUUAGUGUUGUCAUUGUAUGGACUAACUGACCUACUAUUAGCAUCAACCAGUACAUAGGAGAACUGAAAUAGAUGACGAGUAUGAAUGAGUUCUAAUUGUGAUGUUUAUCCGUAAGAGAAAAAGUUCAAAACCACUAGAAGUGAGUUUAGUUUAGAAACAAUCUGAGAGAAAUUGUUACCAGGUAGUGCAAAUUGCAACUAGAUAUUACCUGACUGUAUUCUGCUGAAAUAUUAAAGAGUGAUUGGGAUAAAGUACUCAGUUGAUAAUUACAUGACCAACUAACACUUUGGAUUGGACGAAUCUUACUUCUGGAAGCACAUUUUGAGGGGUCAGAACUCUAUAAAAGAGUUUAAUCCAAAUGUUUAACUUUCAUAGUUUUGCUUCUCAUUUUUUUCAUUUGACGUCCUUAAAAUAAUUUAAUGUGGAAUGAAAUUCGUUGUUGAAGGUGAAGAAUCAAUAAAGUGGCUUCAGUGUAACGAGCUAAAACUUGUUUCUUCAUGGAGUAUUUUCCUAAAUGUUCCCAUUUAUUUUCUCCCAUUUUUUUGCCAGAGAUCUUUGUUUGCUGAUAUUGGUUAGGGAUUUAAUUUCUUUCUAGCCUCCAAGGAAAAUAUCCGCAUUAUAAGAAAACGAAAUAUUUCUAAUUCUUUCCUGGAUUAAAAAUAGUUUCUUUCCUAACUUUUGACCAUUGUGGGUCAUUUCAGAUCAAAUUUCAAAGGGUAUCUACGUGUUUCUAAGAUAUUUAUUGCGAACCCUUACAAGUUUUCACGAAGUUGUGCGAACUAAUUGGUUUUUUUUCCUUCGUUGCAGUUUAUUUAGUUAAUAAUCUUGGAAUUCCAAUAUUUCUUGGAUGGUUAGCUAGAAUUUUGUAUGUAGCUUAGAGAACUUAUUCUCAUUGGGCUACCUUCUUACCUUCUAAAAUUCGUCAGUUAAAUAUAGUACACUUACCAAAAAGUUCUAGGUGGAGAAUGGUGUGGAGUUAUCCUAUUACUCCACCGAGUUUUGAAUCGUGCGCCAUUUGUCCUCAGGAUAUCUCAUUACAGGUACGAAAGCAUGAAUUUCAAAUAAGCUAUUGCAAAGGGGCAGUCGUUCUCAGGUUAAGAAAUUGACCAAACAACUGGGACUGGUGUUUUUGCGCUAUAAGAGAGUUCAUUUAGCUUGACAUCGUGCUCAACCCCCUUCAUCUCUCGGACUCUCCGUCAACAUUGACUAUUACCCGCAAAGGAUGAAACUUAUGACUGUUGGUUGCUAAUAUAACGAACAAGUUAGUAUUUGUCCAACCUACAAAACUUAGUAGAAAUGGAAUACUUACUUUAUUUA